Molecule: ribosomal RNA, 1368 nt
Filed under: Vibrio furnissii
Lineage: Bacteria; Pseudomonadati; Pseudomonadota; Gammaproteobacteria; Vibrionales; Vibrionaceae
Description: 16S ribosomal RNA
Rfam family: Bacterial small subunit ribosomal RNA
Source: RNAcentral
GGCGAGCGGCGGACGGGUGAGUAAUGCCUGGGAAAUUGCCCUGAUGUGGGGGAUAACCAUUGGAAACGAUGGCUAAUACCGCAUGAUAGCUUCGGCUCAAAGAGGGGGACCUUCGGGCCUCUCGCGUCAGGAUAUGCCCAGGUGGGAUUAGCUAGUUGGUGAGGUAAGGGCUCACCAAGGCGACGAUCCCUAGCUGGUCUGAGAGGAUGAUCAGCCACACUGGAACUGAGACACGGUCCAGACUCCUACGGGAGGCAGCAGUGGGGAAUAUUGCACAAUGGGCGCAAGCCUGAUGCAGCCAUGCCGCGUGUAUGAAGAAGGCCUUCGGGUUGUAAAGUACUUUCAGCAGUGAGGAAGGGGGUAUCGUUAAUAGCGGUAUUCUUUGACGUUAGCUGCAGAAGAAGCACCGGCUAACUCCGUGCCAGCAGCCGCGGUAAUACGGAGGGUGCGAGCGUUAAUCGGAAUUACUGGGCGUAAAGCGCAUGCAGGUGGUUUGUUAAGUCAGAUGUGAAAGCCCGGGGCUCAACCUCGGAAUUGCAUUUGAAACUGGCAGGCUAGAGUACUGUAGAGGGGGGUAGAAUUUCAGGUGUAGCGGUGAAAUGCGUAGAGAUCUGAAGGAAUACCGGUGGCGAAGGCGGCCCCCUGGACAGAUACUGACACUCAGAUGCGAAAGCGUGGGGAGCAAAACAGGAUUAGAUACCCUGGUAGUCCACGCCGUAAACGAUGUCUACUUGGAGGUUGUGGCCUUGAGCCGUGGCUUUCGGAGCUAACGCGUUAAGUAGACCGCCUGGGGAGUACGGUCGCAAGAUUAAAACUCAAAUGAAUUGACGGGGGCCCGCACAAGCGGUGGAGCAUGUGGUUUAAUUCGAUGCAACGCGAAGAACCUUACCUACUCUUGACAUCCAGAGAACUUAGCAGAGAUGCUUUGGUGCCUUCGGGAACUCUGAGACAGGUGCUGCAUGGCUGUCGUCAGCUCGUGUUGUGAAAUGUUGGGUUAAGUCCCGCAACGAGCGCAACCCUUAUCCUUGUUUGCCAGCGAGUAAUGUCGGGAACUCCAGGGAGACUGCCGGUGAUAAACCGGAGGAAGGUGGGGACGACGUCAAGUCAUCAUGGCCCUUACGAGUAGGGCUACACACGUGCUACAAUGGCGCAUACAGAGGGCGGCCAACUUGCGAAAGUGAGCGAAUCCCAAAAAGUGCGUCGUAGUCCGGAUUGGAGUCUGCAACUCGACUCCAUGAAGUCGGAAUCGCUAGUAAUCGUGGAUCAGAAUGCCACGGUGAAUACGUUCCCGGGCCUUGUACACACCGCCCGUCACACCAUGGGAGUGGGCUGCAAAAGAAGCAGGUAGUUUAACCUUCGGGAGGACGC